UUNCAAAGGNAGCAUAAUAAUUAGUUUAUUAAUUGUAAAAUUGUAUGAAUGAAUUUAUAAAGAUAGAUUUGUCUUUAUUUUAAGUUUUGAAUUUUAUUUUUUUAUAAAAAAGUUAAAAUGUUUUAAUAGGACGAGAAGACCCUAUAAAUCUUUUAUUUUAAAUUGGAUGUUAAUAAAUUUAUUGUAAUUUAAAAUUUUGAUGGGGCGACAUGUGAAAAAUAAAACUUCAUUUAAAAUUAAAGUUUUGAUAAAAAUUUUAAAGUUUUGAUCCUUUAUAAAGAUUAUAAAAAAUAAGUUACUUUAGGGAUAACAGCAUAAUUUUUUUGGAAAGUUCUUAUUGAUAAAAAAAGUUUGUGACCUCGAUGUUGGAGUAAAUAUAUAUAAG
Molecule: ribosomal RNA, 385 nt
Filed under: Facetotecta sp.
Lineage: Eukaryota; Metazoa; Arthropoda; Thecostraca
Description: partial large subunit ribosomal RNA
Source: RNAcentral